This is a long non-coding RNA of Drosophila mojavensis, 121 nucleotides long. RefSeq lists it as uncharacterized. The transcript is spliced from 2 exons. Lineage: Eukaryota; Metazoa; Arthropoda; Insecta; Diptera; Drosophilidae. The record is from RefSeq and is a predicted model, not a curated record.
GGCGGAACAGUUCGUGGCGGAGUUGCGAGUGCGUUGGUUGUGCGACCUGAAGAACAUCGAGGCGAAACCAAGUCAUAUAGAGAAACCUAAUUGAAUUAUAAAAGAAAGUAAAAACAAAAUC